UACGAAGGGGGCUAGCGUUGUUCGGAAUCACUGGGCGUAAAGGGUGCGUAGGCGGAUUCUUAAGUCAGGGGUGAAAUCCCGAGGCUCAACCUCGGAACUGCCUUUGAUACUGGGGAUCUUGAGUCCGGAAGAGGUGAGUGGAACUGCGAGUGUAGAGGUGAAAUUCGUAGAGUAUUCGCAAGAACACCGGUGGCGAAGGCGGCUCACUGGUCCGGAACUGACGCUGAGGCACGACAGCGUGGGGAGCAAACAGG
Molecule: ribosomal RNA, 254 nt
Filed under: uncultured bacterium
Lineage: Bacteria
Description: partial 16S ribosomal RNA
Rfam family: Bacterial small subunit ribosomal RNA
Source: RNAcentral